CAGAGCCUUGACAGUUGUACGGUCAAGGGAGAGAUGGCAGGCUUAAGAGCCAUAGGCGAUUGUUCUGAGUCGGAGUUCAAGACCUGGGCAGGUCCCAGAAUAGAGAGUCAAGCCGUUGGCAAGCAGAUGGAAGGGCAUAGAGAGUGGUUCCCAAACUGAGUUCUGUAAAGCACUUAGUAUCCAUAUCAUAGGUAUUUUGCCAUGAAAAAGAGCCAGUGGUGGGGAGAGAGAAUGUUCUAUGAUAUUCAAGUCUAGGAAACCCUCUGUCAAAAAAAAUUCAAGAAAGUUAACUGUAGCCCAAGGUGGCUCUUCGCCAGCAGGGGUUAUGGAAGAGAAAUGUAAUAAGUUAUGAAAGCAAAAAUGUGGGUUGAUUUAGGCCCUGACAGGCCUUGAAGGGCGGGGUGAGAAGUUAGGUUUUGAUGGAGUGUUGUGGAGGAUAGUGGGCGGGAGAUGUGAUGCCAUCAGAGCUGGGGUUAGGAAAUGUAAAACUUGUUACCUCUAGGCAUGAUUAAGCCCUGGAAGAGCACGAAGGGGCACUCGUAUAUUCUUCUGGGGCCCUCACAAGCAGGCGACCUUCUGCCCUCGACCAUCAUCAAGCACACGACACUCCAUGACCUCUCUGCUCUAAGAGGAAACUGAGGCACAGUGAGGUUAAGAGAGCAAGGAGCUGCUUUCACCACGUUAUGUUCAGCUAAGAUGGUGAACAACAGCUUGACCUGGAGCUGGGCUGC
Hipposideros armiger (great roundleaf bat) is the source of this 731-nucleotide long non-coding RNA. RefSeq lists it as uncharacterized. The transcript has 3 exons. The record is from RefSeq and is a predicted model, not a curated record. Lineage: Eukaryota; Metazoa; Chordata; Mammalia; Chiroptera; Hipposideridae.